Hemicordylus capensis (graceful crag lizard) is the source of this 491-nucleotide long non-coding RNA. RefSeq lists it as uncharacterized. The transcript has 2 exons. The record is from RefSeq and is a predicted model, not a curated record. NCBI's taxonomy places the organism in Eukaryota, Metazoa, Chordata, Lepidosauria, Squamata, Cordylidae.
GUUCCAGCACGCCACACAUGCGCAGAACACCCGCAAGAGACACGGACGCAGCAUUGGUUACAUCCACAGGAAAUGUUCUGCUUGUCACUGCAUCUGUCAACCUGCAACCAAAACCAGAGAGUCAGCUGAAUGCUGGAGUUCAUUAGAUAAAAAGUGAUGAAACUGCUCUGGGGCCGAUGCAGAGCCAAAGAUUCAACAGUUUGUUGGGAAAGUCCAUCUGCAGAACAUUCCAUGAGGGGAAACAGGCUUGAACAUUGUACUGCUUUGUUCCAUCCAGCAUCUGCUAGCCUGGGGGCCCAAGAGGCAAGAGUAUACCCACAUGAACAUGCAUUCCUUGGCUCAAGGCAGGGAUGAAUGUGCCACCAGCAGCCUAGAAUUGGGGAAUAUGUUUACAUGAAGCAAACAAGAACACCAAGGAAAUUAAAGCUUUCUACAGUGAGAUCAAAUUAAGAGCUGGUUAUAAUAAAAUCUCACUCACUCAUUCAAGAUGA